This 459-nucleotide ribosomal RNA is filed under the name uncultured bacterium. RNAcentral's name for it is "bacterial SSU rRNA". It matches the Rfam family "Bacterial small subunit ribosomal RNA", at positions 28 to 487 of the family's 1533-position model. The record is from RNAcentral.
GAUGAACGCUGGCGGCGUGCCUAAUACAUGCAAGUCGAACGGUACUCUUUCGGGAGUACAGUGGCGAACGGGUGAGUAAUACAUAAGGAACCUGCCCUCGGGACCGGGAUAGCUGAUGGAAACGUCAGGUAAUAGCGGAUGUGAGUCAUUAUGGCAUCAUGAUGACUUGAAAGGAUGCAGCAAUGCAUCGCGCGGGGAUAGCCUUAUGGCGCAUUAGCUAGAUGGUGGGGUAACGGCUCACCAUGGCUAUGAUGUCUAGGGGUUCUGAGAGGAAGACCCCCCAACUGGGACUGAGACACGGCCCAGACUCCUACGGGAGGCAGCAGUGAGGAAUAUUGGACAAUGGAUGGAAAUCUGAUCCAGCCAUGCCGCGUGCAGGAAGACGGCCCUAUGGGUUUAAACUGCUUUUAAUUGGGACAAUAAGGUCUACGAGUAGACCGAUGAGAGUACCAUAUGAAU